GGCUAGCUGGAAAGAAUACAAAAAAUAAAACAAAAUUUAAGUCACAACUUUCAGGAUAAUUGUAAUAAAAUUUUAAAUGGAAAAUUUCUAUAUUGUAUAUACGCAAUCUAUAUGACAUCUAAAAUUGCCUAUCCAUUAUAGUAACUUAAUAUGUUUCUUCCUCAUUUGAAUUUACCACAAUUGCAAGUGCCCUGUAAGAAAAUCCUAAUUACUGGAAAUCAAGUAUUUUACUAAGUUAGUUAUUUCAAUAGUAAAAUUUUUUUAGUUCAUUGACAUAUAGAAGACAAGUUGGCUCACUGACUUACACAGUAUAUCCGUUCCUAGAUUUUCAACUUUCUAUACUAAAAAUGUUGCCAUUCAUUCAUUUACUGGAUUAGGUACACCACUACAAAAUCAAACACCUCAUCUUACUCUUUAAAGGUUUUUUUGGGUCUAUCAUACAAUUUGUGUCCUUUACUUAAAAAAUUAGAAGACAUAACCAAACAAAUUAUAGUAAUUCACCCACAGUCCCAUUACCCCAGGAAAACUAUGACUGGUUUUAAUUAUAUCUUUCCCACGAUUUUCAACUGAACACACAUGAAAGUGCCUAAUACGUUAAAUAUCUUCUCCCGGACUUCAUAAGACCUCACCCAUAGUCAGAAUUAGGUACUACUCAGAUCGAUCUGCCUUCACCUUCUCCAGCCCAGUAGCGAAUAAACAAUGUAAGAGUCAUGGUCCACAGGCCACACAUCUCCCUGCACCUCAACUUCAGACCCAAACACCCGCGCCUCCACACUUUCAGGAAUAAAUCCUACUCUUCCGCCCAAAACGGAUCGACCCGGCUCGAUCUCCCAACCAGACCCGCGUGGCCCCUGCGGCUGCAACUGGUAACACUUGACGGCCGUCCGCACUUCCUCCUUUCUCUUUCUCUUAUUUCUUACGUUUCUCCCUUGCUCCUUUGUCUUUCCCUCAUUUCUUACGUUUCUCCGCUGCUCACUCUUCCCUCCUUACCCUAUCGGGGCCGCAGACCCACGGGGGCCACGUUCACUUCUGCCCCUCGGCCUUGGCAAGCGCGGGCCCGUUGUCGCGCAGAGCCGAGGGUCCUGGGGAAUCCUGGAUUGGCGCAAGGGGCCGCCGCCGUUUCUGCUGGACACCAGGAGAAAACCACGGAAGCGGUAGCCGCCAGCUUCCUCUAUCUCGCCCCAGGGGCUUGGAUCCCACUCCCCACUCACCGCCAGACCGGAAGCAGGAAGGCGGAAGUCGCGGCCUUUGCGUCCCGCCCACAGACGACCCGAACCGCCAGCUGGGCGUUAGGAAGUCUAGGAGCCGGUUUCCGGCUGCGCCAUUGCUGUGCUUGAACCCGAGACUGCCACGUCCUGCGGGGACCAAGUGAUGGGCGAGGAGGCGUGCAGCGGCUUCAGGACUCGAGGAGAGGUUCCGAAGCAGCUAGGAACUUUUGCCUUUGCCUCCCGAGGUCGAUCGGAAGACAACCCCCAUCCCCUGCUGUAGCCGGACAGUUGGAGGGUCCCGGGUGGGUGAGGUGUUUGGCUGAGAGAAACUCAGACCAAAGAGCUGCGGCAAGAAAGCAUUUGGGUUCCCACAAACCGCCCGAAGUCAAGAUGAUUUUCCCAGUUACUGCCUCUGGAUACUUGGAGUGCUGCAUCCCUGGUUAAAAGCAUGGAAGUCUUGGGCAGGAAGAAAGGGCAAAUAAGGAGAAAGCCUUUGUAGCUCUUCAGCUGUAAUCUAGACCAGGGAUCCCCAACGAUGGACUGGUACCUGGUUUGCAGCCUGUUAGGAACAGGGCCUCACAGCAGCAGGUGAGCGAUGGGUGAGUGAGCAUUUCCGUCUAAAUUGCGCCUCCUGUCAGAUCAGCAGCAUCAUUAGAUUUUCAUGGUGCGAACCCUAAUGUGAACUGCAUGUGUGAGGGAUCUAGGUUGUGUGUUCUUUAUGAGAAUCUAAUGCCUGAUGAUCUGAGGUGGAAGAGCUUCAUCCUGAAAACAUGCCCCCUCCCCAUCCAUGGAAAAAUUGUUUUCCACGAAACCAGUCCUUGAUGCCAGAAAGGUUGGAGACUGCUGAUCUAGACCAUGCCUUUACAAUCUAAGUUUGCUUAUCUAGCUUCAAGUUACAGGACAGUCUGUAAGACCAAGAACAGCAUAGGGGUUGCCACAGUGGAGCUCCUUACUGCAAUCUGCAUUGCCUUAACUAAAGGUGGUGUCAGAAUUGGUUCAAAUACUGUGAACUACUUUCCAUAAUGAGGAGUCUGAGCUCGUGAACUGAGAUUCACAGUCUUGGUACAGUAAUGAUAUGUAUACUCUGAUAAAUCACUCUGAGUGUGUUUCCACUUAUAUCUGUGGAAAGCAUACUAGGCAAUCUCCAAUGCCCUUUCAGCUUUAAAAUCUGUAAAUUGGACUGGAUUUGGUCAUUUUUCUUACCUAAAUAAAUAACAUAGUAAGGUAUUUGAUAGAAACAUUAUUGCAAGUUUUCUUAAGGUCUUUUUUUUUUUUUUUAAAUUUUGAGACGGAGCCUCUGUCCUGCAGUGGCGGGAUCUCGGCUCACUGCAAC
Macaca mulatta (Rhesus monkey) is the source of this 2541-nucleotide non-coding RNA. The record is from RefSeq and is a predicted model, not a curated record. Lineage: Eukaryota; Metazoa; Chordata; Mammalia; Primates; Cercopithecidae.